Molecule: ribosomal RNA, 497 nt
Filed under: uncultured bacterium
Lineage: Bacteria
Description: partial 16S ribosomal RNA
Rfam family: Bacterial small subunit ribosomal RNA
Source: RNAcentral
GAUGAACGCUGGCGGCGUGCCUAAUACAUGCAAGUCGAGCGAACGGACGAGAAGUGUGCUUGGCUGAAGUUAGCGGCGGAUGGGUGAUGAACAGGUGGAUAACCUACCUAGGAGAAUGGGGUAACGUCGGGGAAGCGUAUCUAACACCGGACAAUAUUUUGAACCGGAGGGUUCAUCAGAGAAAGAGGUUCCUGCUGUCACUAAUACGGGGUACCGAGCUGGAGUGGCUAGUUGGUAAGGUAACGGCUUACCAAGGCUACGAUGCGUAGCCGGCCUGAGAGGGUGAUCAGCCACACUGAAACUGAGACACGGUCCAGACUCCUACGGGAGGCAGCAGUGGGGAAUCUUCCGCAAUGGGCGAAAGCCUGACCGAGCCACGCCGCGUGAGUGAAGAAGGUCUUCGGAUUGUAAAGCUCUUUUAUUAGGGAAGAACGUAAGUGUGAGUAUCUGUGGACAUCUUGACGGUACCAACACAGAAAGCCACGGCUAACUUCGUG